UUCCGGCUGGCGAAAACCCUAGCUAUCUUGUUUCGGAUCUGAGUGAAUCAAUCAACAAAUUCCCCACCGAAUUGCUUGUUUUCCUUCGAUCGCUUGCAAUUUCAGAGACAGCCACUACUAGGGCCUGUCACGAGGUCUCUGGGGACCACGCAGUAAGGGACUGGCGCGGCUUCUGGUCGUUGGUUCCGGCGAUGCCAAGCCGAAGAUCUGAGUCGCCGAGCCGCAAGUAGCAGCUGGACAUCCAUCCGCCGGCCCCGACAGCGAGCUCCGGCUGCCCCCUACCCCAUCCGCCUGCCCCGGAGUCGCAGCCGUGGAUAGCCCCAUCAGCCGCAACCUUCACCAGCCACGCACAAACCUUCCAAAGACAAAUUCUGUCUACCUAUGAUUCAUAUAUCUGUCUACCUAUGUAUCUAUCUAUGUAGAACACCUCUUUUGUGUUGGUUGCAACUAUGUUAUGCCUGACAAGUUAUCCAUGCUAUGAUAGCUCCAUAGGCCUGACAAGUUAUCCAUCAUCCAUGUUAUCUACUAAGUUAUCUAUGACGCUUAACCAUCAUCCCUGUAUCUAUCUUUCUUAUUAGUACUCCAGAACUAAGUCUUGUUUGGUCAUCAAUUUGUUCUCUGUUGGCAUGUAAAUUCUGCAAGGGUUUUUUGGUCUCCUAAUUUAGUCCUAGGAGUGAUACAGGUUGUCAAGUUUUAUGUUGUUGAUCUGCUUCAGGCCAUGUUUCUCUGUUUCUUGAGUUAUAAUUGUUUGCAGAAUAUUGUGUGAGAGUUCCUGAUUCUUUUCCUUUAUUAAAGAAGCAAACACAUAUUGUUUUCUUCAAAAGAUUGACAGCUUGGACUUUGAAUUUGCCGUAUGUUAGUCAUACUAAUAAUUUCUGGACCAGUUUAAUAGUUUUUGUAGGAUCAUAGCAAAGAAUUAUAGCACCAGCCACUUUAUUUAAUGAUAGAUUUUUUUUAGCAUCUACUUGUUGUACUAAAGUAUCAUGGUUUUCUGAAUUUAAUAUGUAAACGUGUCACCAUUGGGCACACAGCUCUCAUCUCCACUCUCUCUCAUCCGCUAGGGAUGGAGGGGCUGCCGAAAUCCACCUCGAGGCAGAGGGGUAGGCAGAAGGAUGGUGGGCGUUCCACUCGACGGCGAGCCAUGGGUGAUGGCGAUCUCAACGCAAAGUUUUCCGAUCUGCCCGUCUUCAAGGGCGUGGAGCGACGGAGGUUGUCUCCCUCCUUCCACACGGUCGCAGCAUCGGGAGAGGAUUCAGCCCCCGUGUGGUUCUGCACCAAGUUUCUGUCAAGAAUGGAAUCUAUGAGUUCUGGAACUGGUUUGAUGAUAGGACAUGCUGGAAGCAUUUGGUGGCAUGUUACUGAAAAAUGUGCCUGAAAGAUUUGAUCGGUCUACUAAGUUGGUAAACGCUCUGAACAUCCAAGUGUUGGUGGAGACCGUUUGCGUGUUACUGCUCCAAUUUUCUCAGCAGAUGCUUCCUGGGCUACUUACCUCUUGAUAAAGGAAGCAAAGGGCACUGGAGCUGGAUGGAUGCCAGUAGCCAUUCUGGCAAUGGUAAAUUGCACUUGAUUUAUAGAUGUUUUCAUUUUCAUAUGCCAUGGUCUAAGUGGAAAUAUAAAAACUUUUCGAUGAAGCUAGGGAUGCCAUUAAGUAGCUUUAGCUUUACCUGUCUUUGGGUGGGAACAUUACACUCUUCAACAACGAAAGAGAGGGCGAGAGGUGAUCCUUCUGCUCUUUACUUGUGAAUCUCUAUUUCUUACUAGCUCGGGGAACUUGCACCCAACAAACUAAUGGAUGAUCUUGCAAACCUCAUCAAGUAUAUUAGUAGUUACACUGUGAAUUUGAAAGCAAAAAAAUAUUGUACAUUUGUUCAUGUUAAAUUUAGAUGUGUUCUUGGGCAAUAAUUGAUGGUAGAUAAUACAUGAUGGGGGAUGGCCUUCAUUGCUACAAUUACUUUUCCUAUCCCUCCUUAGUUUCUUUUAUGUAUAUUAGUUUCUGUUUGCCCCUUUGUUUUUAGGGGAAGUUUUCUUACUGCCACAGCUUGGUUGUUCUAACAUGACAAAAUGUUGGAUUUAUUAUCCUGGUAAAUACUGGAUACUAGCUCAUUUUACUUCAGCUCAUAAGGAAAGGGAUCUGUAUGCAAAGCGUGUCAUGGGACGGUAUGCUGGAAUAAACGCAUAUAGCCAGUUCAUGUUUACCCUUUUCUUUACACAUAUGAUUGGGACUAGCAAAUUCACAUAUACAAAUAUGUUUCUAGAGCAAGGAUGAGAAGCACUCCAUACACAACCACAAUUGAUGGGAUGACGGGACUUGAGGUCAAACCACACAGGUUUGCACCAUAAUCAAGCAUCAGUUCAAUGGGAACUGGAAUGAUGAAAACACUUGUCGUGCCUCGGAGUGUGGCGCCGAGGAGAAGGACGAGCAGUCAGUGGUGUCUUCGUCUUCGCCGAUUGUGCUGGUGUGUUAUUCCUUUCCCUGCUCCGCCGCCUAGGAUACUCCACCACGGGAUUCGAGUAUGGCCUUGCCUUGGAUGGGUUGAGGAUGAUCAGUACGUCUGGAUUUUGCCAUCCUUCUUGGUUGUGAUUUUCAUUUGUUUUUCCUUCUCGUUUAGCUUCUCUUCUAUGCAUGGUGUAUAUGCCCUUCGGAGGAUUGUGUUAAUGCAUCAAAUAGGAUGUGUGCACCUAUUUUAUCAUGGAUCUUUGAUCCACAAUCUAACAAUUUUUUGUUCUGAUGGCUGCAAUUAUGUGACACAGAAGGUGCUUCUUGCUUGUUUGUUCAAAUGGCUAAAAGAAAAUACCCCCUUCUUUUUAUAGUACACAUUCCCUUGACAUACAUUCCAAAAAAUUUAAGCACCCACAUUUUAAUUUAUUUUGGCAA
Aegilops tauschii subsp. strangulata is the source of this 2875-nucleotide RNA transcript. RefSeq lists it as uncharacterized. The record is from RefSeq and is a predicted model, not a curated record. Lineage: Eukaryota; Viridiplantae; Streptophyta; Magnoliopsida; Poales; Poaceae.